RNAcentral lists this ribosomal RNA (253 nucleotides) under uncultured bacterium. RNAcentral describes it as "partial 16S ribosomal RNA". It matches the Rfam family "Bacterial small subunit ribosomal RNA", at positions 524 to 776 of the family's 1533-position model. The record is from RNAcentral.
UACGUAGGGGGCAAGCGUUGUCCGGAUUUAUUGGGCGUAAAGCGCGUGUAGGCGGCUUGGUAGGUCAGCUGUGAAAACUCGAGGCUCAACCUCGAGCUGUCGGUUGAAACCACCUUGCUAGAGUCCGGAAGAGGAGAGUGGAAUUCCUGGUGUAGCGGUGAAAUGCGCAGAUAUCAGGAAGAACACCAAUGGCGAAGGCAGCUCUCUGGGACGGUACUGACGCUGAGGCGCGAAAGCGUGGGGAUCAAACAGG